Molecule: transfer RNA, 72 nt
Filed under: Camelus bactrianus (Bactrian camel)
Lineage: Eukaryota; Metazoa; Chordata; Mammalia; Artiodactyla; Camelidae
Also listed under: 2 other names
Rfam family: tRNA
About the family: Transfer RNA (tRNA) molecules are approximately 80 nucleotides in length. Their secondary structure includes four short double-helical elements and three loops (D, anti-codon, and T loops).
Source: Rfam by way of RNAcentral
GAGGGUACAGCUCAGUGGUAGAGUGCAUGCCUAGCAUGUACAACGUCCUGGGUUCAAUCCCCAGUGCCUCCG